RNAcentral lists this non-coding RNA (30 nucleotides) under Mus musculus (house mouse). Lineage: Eukaryota; Metazoa; Chordata; Mammalia; Rodentia; Muridae. The record is from RNAcentral.
UGAUUUGGAAGCCCCUUGAGUUAUAAAAGU